This 150-nucleotide unclassified non-coding RNA is filed under the name uncultured Tolypocladium. Its description in RNAcentral is "sequence contains ITS2". Lineage: Eukaryota; Fungi; Ascomycota; Sordariomycetes; Hypocreales; Clavicipitaceae. The record is from RNAcentral.
CAACCCUCAGGCCCCGCCUGGUGUUGGGGACCGGCCCCGGCCGCCCCCCAAACGCAGUGGCGACCCUCGCCGCGGCCUCCCCUGCGCAGUAGCACAACCUCGCACCGGAGCGCGGAGACGGUCACGCCGUAAAACGCCCAACUCACCCAG